This 875-nucleotide ribosomal RNA is filed under the name uncultured archaeon. Its description in RNAcentral is "bacterial SSU rRNA". It matches the Rfam family "Archaeal small subunit ribosomal RNA", at positions 21 to 903 of the family's 1478-position model. The record is from RNAcentral.
CCUGACUGCUAUCGGAUUGAUACUAAGCCAUGCGAGUCAUUGUAGCAAUACAAGGCAUACGGCUCAGUAACGCGUAGUCAACCUACCCUAUGGACGGGAAUAACCUCGGGAAACUGAGUAUAAUGCCCGAUAGAACAUUAUGCCUGGAAGGGUUUAUGUUCCAAAUGAUUUAUCGCCGUAGGAUGGGACUGCGGCCUAUCAGUUUGUUGGUGAGGUAAUGGCCCACCAAGACUAUUACAGGUACGGGCUCUGAGAGGAGAAGCCCGGAGAUGGGUACUGAGACAAGGACCCAGGCCCUAUGGGGCGCAGCAGGCGAGAAAACUUUGCAAUGUGCGAAAGCACGACAAGGUUAAUCCGAGUGAUUUCUGCUAAAGAAAUCUUUUGCAAGUCAUAAAACCACUAGUGAAUAAGGGGUGGGCAAGUUCUGGUGUCAGCCGCCGCGGUAAAACCAGCACCUCAAGUGGUCAGGAGGAUUAUUGGGCCUAAAGCAUCCGUAGCCGGCUCUGUAAGUUUUCGGUUAAAUCCAUGUGCUCAACGCAUGGGCUGUCGAAAAUACUGCAUAGCUAGGGAGUGGGAGAGGUAGACGGUACUCGGUAGGAAGGGGUAAAAUCCUUUGAUCUAUCGAUGACCACCUGUGGCGAAGGCGGUCUACCAGAACACGUUCGACGGUGAGGGAUGAAAGCUGGGGGAGCAAACCGGAUUAGAUACCCGGGUAGUCCCAGCUGUAAACGAUGCAGACUCGAUGAUGCAUUGGCAUAUAGCCAGUGCAGUGUCGCAGGGAAGCCGUUAAGUCUGCCGCCUGGGAAGUACGUACGCAAGUAUGAAACUUAAAGGAAUUGGCGGGGGAGCACCACAAGGGGUGAAGCCUGCGGUUC